CCCGUGUUUACUGUACCUUAGUUGCUUCGGCGGGCCCGCCAUUCAUGGCCGCCGGGGGCUCUCAGCCCCGGGCCCGCGCCCGCCGGAGACACCACGAACUCUGUCUGAUCUAGUGAAGUCUGAGUUGAUUGUAUCGCAAUCAGUUAAAACUUUCAACAAUGGAUCUCUUGGUUCCGGCAUCGAUGAAGAACGCAGCGAAAUGCGAUAACUAGUGUGAAUUGCAGAAUUCCGUGAAUCAUCGAGUCUUUGAACGCACAUUGCGCCCCCUGGUAUUCCGGGGGGCAUGCCUGUCCGAGCGUCAUUGCUGCCCAUCAAGCACGGCUUGUGUGUUGGGUCGUCGUCCCCUCUCCGGGGGGGACGGGCCCCAAAGGCAGCGGCGGCACCGCGUCCGAUCCUCGAGCGUAUGGGGCUUUGUCACCCGCUCUGUAGGCCCGGCCGGCGCUUGCCGAACGCAAAUCAAUCUUUUUCCAGGUUGACCUCGGAUCAGGUAGGGAUACCCGCUGAACUUAAGCAUA
RNAcentral lists this ribosomal RNA (515 nucleotides) under Aspergillus flavus. RNAcentral describes it as "eukaryotic LSU rRNA". The stretch from base 148 to 301 matches the Rfam family "5.8S ribosomal RNA". Lineage: Eukaryota; Fungi; Ascomycota; Eurotiomycetes; Eurotiales; Aspergillaceae. The record is from RNAcentral.